UGGGAACGUGCCCAAAGGUACGGAACAACUCCGGGAAACUGGAGCUAAUACCGUAUGUGCCCGAAAGGGGAAAGAUUCAUCGCCUUUGGAUCGGCCCGCGUCUGAUUAGCUAGUUGGCGGGGUAAUGGCCCACCAAGGCGACGAUCAGUAGCUGGUCUGAGAGGAUGGCCAGCCACAUUGGGACUGAGACACGGCCCAGACUCCUACGGGAGGCAG
This 216-nucleotide ribosomal RNA is filed under the name uncultured bacterium. RNAcentral's name for it is "partial 16S ribosomal RNA". It matches the Rfam family "Bacterial small subunit ribosomal RNA", at positions 118 to 351 of the family's 1533-position model. The record is from RNAcentral.